CAAUAGCGUAUAUUAAAGUUGUUGCAGUUAAAAAGCUCAUAGUUGGAUUUCUGGUGGGAGCGAUCGGUCUGGCGCUUAGCGCGAGUACUUGCAUCGUCUCCGGCCAUCCUUGGGGAGAGUCUGUCUGGCAUUAGGUUGUCGGGCAGAGGAUCCUCAUCGUUUACUGUGAAAAAAUUAGAGUGUUCAAAGCAGGCUUAUGCCGUUGAAUAUAUUAGCAUGGAAUAAUAAGAUAGGACUUUGGUACUAUUUUGUUGGUUUGCGCACCAAAGUAAUGAUUAAUAGGGACAGUUGGGGGUAUUCGUAUUCCGUUGUCAGAGGUGAAAUUCUUGGAUUUACGGAAGACGAACUACCGCGAAAGCAUUUACCAAGGAUGUUUUCAUUAA
This 383-nucleotide ribosomal RNA is filed under the name uncultured eukaryote. RNAcentral describes it as "partial 18S ribosomal RNA". It matches the Rfam family "Eukaryotic small subunit ribosomal RNA", at positions 592 to 976 of the family's 1831-position model. The record is from RNAcentral.